Molecule: ribosomal RNA, 301 nt
Filed under: uncultured bacterium
Lineage: Bacteria
Description: partial 16S ribosomal RNA
Rfam family: Bacterial small subunit ribosomal RNA
Source: RNAcentral
CAGUCGCCGCGGUAAUACGAAGGGGGCUAGCGUUGCUCGGAAUUACUGGGCGUAAAGGGAGCGUAGGCGGAUCGUUAAGUUGGGGGUGAAAGCCCGGGGCUCAACCUCGGAACUGCCUUCAAUACUGGCGAUCUUGAGUGCAGAAGAGGAGAGUGGAAUUCCACGUGUAGCGGUGAAAUGCGUAGAGAUGUGUAGGAACACCAGUGGCGAAGGCGACUCUCUGGUCUGUAACUGGCGCUGAGGAGCGAAGGCGUGGGGAGCGAACAGGAUUAGAGACCCCCGUAGUCCCUGUCUCUUAUAC